GAUGAAGAACGUAGCGAAAUGCGAUAAGUAAUGUGAAUUGCAGAAUUCAGUGAAUCAUCGAAUCUUUGAACGCACAUUGCGCCCGCUAGUAUUCUGGCGGGCAUGCCUGUUCGAGCGUCAUUUCAACCCUCAGGCCCCCAGUGCCUGGCGUUGGGGAUCGGCCGCUGGCGUCCUUCGGGGCGCCUGGCCGGCCCCGAAAUCUAGUGGCGGUCUCGCUGUAGCUUCCUCUGCGUAGUAGCACACCUCGCACUGGGAAACAGCGCGGCCACGCCGUUAAACCCCCAACUUCUGAACGUUUGACCUCGGAUCAGGUAGGAAUACCCGCUGAACUUAAGCAUAUCAAUAAGCGGAGGA
RNAcentral lists this unclassified non-coding RNA (354 nucleotides) under soil metagenome. RNAcentral describes it as "partial contains 5.8S ribosomal RNA, internal transcribed spacer 2, and large subunit ribosomal RNA". The stretch from base 1 to 120 matches the Rfam family "5.8S ribosomal RNA", at positions 35 to 154 of the family's 154-position model. The record is from RNAcentral.